This 355-nucleotide small RNA is filed under the name Arabidopsis thaliana (thale cress). Its description in RNAcentral is "putative long intergenic non-coding RNA". The record is from RNAcentral. Lineage: Eukaryota; Viridiplantae; Streptophyta; Magnoliopsida; Brassicales; Brassicaceae.
UUGAAGUCUUUAUCCCUCUCGAUUAUAAAAUGAUUAGGAAAAGAAAAAGAGAGAAUAAAAUGUAGAUAAAGAGAAAGAGAAAGAGAGAGAGGAACAUAAGGGAUGGUAUGAAGUAGAAGUGAAGAUGCAUGCGAUGGUGUGUCGGAAAGGCAAAGCACAUGCUACACAACUUGAGCUUCUCACUUGCGUCAGGGAUAAGUAUCCUCUGUACCUUCUUACUUUUGCGUAAUAUGUACCACCUCACUUCUCAACCGUUUGAUCUUUAAUCCUUCAUUAUUUCUUCAUUACCUUCUCUUUUUGUUUUUGUUUUCGUUUUCAAUUUCUCAUAGAUUCAUUUACAAACUAAAUAUCAUAG